CCCAGACUCCUACGGGAGGCAGCAGUGGGGAAUAUUGCACAAUGGGGGAAACCCUGAUCCAGCGACGCCGCGUGAGUGAAGAAGUAUUUCGGUACGUAAAGCUCUAUCAGCAGGAAAGAAAAUGACGGUACCUGACUAAGAAGCCCCGGCUAACUACGUGCCAGCAGCCGCGGUAAUACGUAGGGGGCAAGCGUUAUCCGGAUUUACUGGGUGUAAAGGGAGCGUAGACGGCAGCGCAAGUCUGGAGUGAAAUGCCGGGGCCCAACCCCGGAACUGCUCUGGAAACUGUGAAGCUGGAGUGCAGGAGAGGUAAGCGGAAUUCCUGGUGUAGCGGUGAAAUGCGUAGAUAUCAGGAGGAACACCGGCGGCGAAGGCGGCUUACUGGACUGUAACUGACGUUGAGGCUCGAAGGCGUGGGGAGCAAACAGGAUUAGAUACCCGAGUA
This 445-nucleotide ribosomal RNA is filed under the name uncultured bacterium. Its description in RNAcentral is "bacterial SSU rRNA". It matches the Rfam family "Bacterial small subunit ribosomal RNA", at positions 330 to 792 of the family's 1533-position model. The record is from RNAcentral.